Molecule: ribosomal RNA, 253 nt
Filed under: uncultured prokaryote
Description: partial 16S ribosomal RNA
Rfam family: Bacterial small subunit ribosomal RNA
Source: RNAcentral
ACGUAGGGUGCAAGCGUUAAUCGGAAUUACUGGGCGUAAAGGGCGCGUAGGCGGCCUUCUAAGUCGAACGUGUAAUCCCCGGGCUCAACCCGGGAACUGCGUCCGAUACUGGAAGGCUUGAAUCCGGGAGAGGGAUGCGGAAUUCCAGGUGUAGCGGUGAAAUGCGUAGAUAUCUGGAGGAACACCGGUGGCGAAGGCGGCAUCCUGGACCAUUACUGACGCUGAGGCUCGAAAGCGUGGGGAGCAAACAGGA